GAGGCUGUGGCUCCGUGGUAGAGCACUCGCCUAGCAUGAGCGAGGCGCUAGGAUCAAUCCUCAGCACCA
This 69-nucleotide transfer RNA is filed under the name Marmota monax (woodchuck). RNAcentral's name for it is "tRNA.Ala". The record is from RNAcentral. Lineage: Eukaryota; Metazoa; Chordata; Mammalia; Rodentia; Sciuridae.